Molecule: RNA transcript, 2134 nt
Organism: Myzus persicae (green peach aphid)
Lineage: Eukaryota; Metazoa; Arthropoda; Insecta; Hemiptera; Aphididae
Gene name: mitochondrial import inner membrane translocase subunit Tim17-B
Exons: 3
Source: RefSeq, a predicted model, not a curated record
CCUUAUUAAUAAAUACUGUAACAAUACGUAAAAAUUAAGCUUACUCUGCAAACACACUUAAGCAGAGCCUGAUAGGCUAAGUAUCGGCCCACCGAGAUUUAGAACUUUUGUCACUUGCUCAAAACCCAUUAAAUUAGGUUAGAACAAGUAAGAUGAUAACAAAAAUUAUAAAAAUAUAAUCCAGCCCAUCCAGUUAAACUCGGUAACUCACUGAUUUUAUUCGGACUUGCACUUCGGCGUAACUAAUUUUUAUUUGUAAAUUCUAGUUUUAACUGAUUGGGAAUUAAAUGCAACAUCAACAUCUUAUAUUGAUUUACAUUUAAUAACUAAUAAUUGGUACGAAGCAUUUUGAAUUUUUCAGAACAUAUAGGUUGUCCUCAUUUCUAACUGAUUGUGUAUAAAAUAUUAAACAAGUGAAUACUUCAGGUCACUUUCGAAUAAGUUUUUAUAUUAUUUUACCUCAUAAUUUUAAGUUCAUGGCGGGAACUAUUUCUUUCUUACAACCUCUUUGAAAUUGUAGCCGCUUGAUUAAUAUUAAUUUUUAACCUAACCAUCAAACCUCAAUAUCAUUGAUAAAUCAUAAAUGAUAAAAUAUUAAACACAAUAGACAGAAUAGAAAAUAUAAAGGGUUCUCUUCGUGUUUCAACGUUCGCCGUUCAACUACAAAUUGUAAUACCAAAUCAACCUUGUGAUAGGUUUACGAAAUUUGCAAUAAAGCUUAUCUAACAUUCUAACCGAAAAUGUCUACCUUUUGUGGAAAACUAGAAGAAAAGGAAUUAGCAUUCAUUGGAAUUGAUUCUUUUGAGUCACAUCUACUAAGUUGUUCAACUUUUAUGUUGUCCCAUUUUCAUAAAGAUCACAUGCGUGGUAUUCAAGAUCAAACUUUUCAAAUGGCAUUCAAUGAUAUUAAGAAUAACAUGAUGCUUUAUGCAUCGCCAUUGACAAUAACAUAUUUAAAGCGAAAUAAAACCAUUAAUCUCAGAGAAGAUAAGCUUAUAUCUCUAGAAAUUGGUUUCCCUAAUUUGUUAAAAGUGCAUUCAGAAAAUUUUGAAUACAUUUGCGUGACCCUAUUACCGGCUGGACAUUGUCCAGGAUCAGUCAUGUUUUUGAUUGAAGCUGGUCCACAUUGUAUUUUAUAUACUGGCGAUUUCCGAGUACAAUUACAAGAUUUCAAACAAUUUAAACCACUAUUGAUGGAUAAAGAAGGUAACUGUGGUGUAAAGAAUAUAUCUGCAUUGUAUUUAGAUACUACUUUUGCAUCUAAAAAAUAUUAUGAAUUUCCAAUGAGGAAGGAAAGUAGUGCUAACUUGAUAAAAGUAGUUGAAGAAUGGUUAAACCAAGAUCCUAACAAUAAAAUUUGUUUGUGGAUGCCUGGAUAUGUGGGCAUAGAAUAUGCCAUAGUUGAAGUAGCCAAACAUUUUAAAUGUGCUAUUCAUGUGCAUAAACAAAAAUAUGAAGAAUUGUACAGUUCAAUAGCAGAUUUAGACAAUUAUGUUACUCCAAUUUUUACUAAUAAUAGAAUACACGCAUGUUCAAAAAAUGAGUGUGACACUGACAGCAUUAACUGCAUGAAAUUAAAUAAAAAUGUAAAAUGUGUACAGCUUAAUGCGUUAGCAUUUACUAAGGACGUGAUAGACACAGGUGGUUAUGUAAUUAUUAAAAAUAACAUAACCAGAGUUUGUUAUUCAAGCCAUCCCAGUUGUAAAGAAUUAAGAGAAAUUGUGAGAUUCUUAAAUCCAGAAAAAUUAUAUUUUAAUGUAAUAGUUAAUCAAACAGUUAAAGAGAUUUAUGAUAUUUUAACUGAAAACAAUUGGACUCCUAGGACGCAAAAGGAAAACGUUAAAGACAAUACAAAAGUGAUUUUAAAACUAUCCAACAAAUAUAAAUACAAUCAUAGUGUACAAAAUAAAACAGAAGUAUUCAACAAAAGACCAAGACUUGAAUCGCCUGAAAGAGAAUGAAUCUUCAACCUAAUUAUUUACAUUUUGAAAAAAAAAUUUUUGUAUACUAUUAUUUAUUUAGUAGAAUUUCAGAUAUCUAAAAAACUAGUACAGCAAUAAAAAUACCAUGGAAGAAUUUGGAAGGGAACCAUGUCCAAUGAGAAUAUUAGAAGAUCUUGGUGGAGCUUUUGCCA